UUUAUUUCAGGUCUAUGUCGCCGAGUUUGGUUGUUGGAUGUAGCGAUAUACAAGAUGAAAUGUCAAGAAAACCAGCUGAGCGCUUAAGGGUGUGGACAAAUGGACAUCACUCACACAGUAGGAACGUGAUUGCUCUGUUGGCUACUAUGUGUCAAUCACUACUCCGCGGUGUGUUUACAAACGCCGAGAUUAUCUGGGAUGAUGAGAAGUUUCAUUGCGGCAAAAGGAUGUUAUCUGGAUCUUGUGCAUACCGAGCCACUGAUGUUAAUGGGCUAAUCAGCUUUUCGAUAAGUCAACUAAUUUCUUUCUUUUUUUAAAUUUUUUUCAAAACACUUAAUAUUGUCGAUUGGUUUGCUUAAAUGUAAGUAUCGAAUUCUAUAUAUGAUUUUAGAUUUUAGAUAUUAACAUUGGAAUUGGAAAUCAUGUGUUAUGUUAACAAACAACAUCUUUCUUACGUACGCCAAAGAUUCUCUACUACGCCUGCAUUAUUCAGGAACAUCAGACAUAAGAUGCAUCCGAUGAUCAGGAUCAUCACGAUCAGAGCAACAAGACUACAGUUAAUGUACAACAAAAGUUUAGUGUUUGUGUCGUUAUUAGUCGUCGAAAUUGUUUUAGUUGGAGUAGUUGUCGUCAGGGCUUCAGUGGUCGGAACCUUCAGUCGUUGGGGUUUCUUUCGUUGGCAUUUCAGUGGUAGGAAUUAAGAAAUUGUUUGGUGCGAAUGAAUUCCCCUUCUUCCAACGUGUUAUUAUUGUCUGUAUUCAGCCAUGAGAAGAUCAAUCAUCUACCAAAAAUGGAAUAAUGCUAUACUGAUCGCACAUGCUACUCUUUUAUUGUUGAUGUUGGACAGGUGUUAAUUUCCGUCGCUGUUCAGUCCGACUUGGCCUUCGUGUUGGCCGCUGCCUUCGGUUCCAUAUCCAUCGUGCUGUAAACUGAACUUCUUCUUUCCUUGCGUUUUUUUCCCUUUUCUGUUGUUACAAGUCAUUUUGCAACUCAACUUGUAUUUUUCCUCACCCAUCCCUACCCUUUCACAUUUAUAUUUUUUUCCUCUCGCAUUCAUAAUGUCGUUUGUCGUUGUGAUUCUUGUCUUAUAAUUAUUUUCGUUUUCUGAAUUUAUUUUUAUAUUAUUAACACGGCCAUCCCUUCAAACACAGCUGGCCAGAGUGAGUACAAAAAGUGUAAUUACUGAUCCAGAAACAAAUAAAACAAGUGAAUGUUUUACAUGAU
Daphnia pulex (common water flea) is the source of this 1224-nucleotide long non-coding RNA. RefSeq lists it as uncharacterized. Lineage: Eukaryota; Metazoa; Arthropoda; Branchiopoda; Diplostraca; Daphniidae. The transcript has 3 exons. The record is from RefSeq and is a predicted model, not a curated record.